CGGCGGANGGGUGAGUAAUGCUUGGGAAUGUACCUUAUGGUGGGGGACAACAGUUGGAAACGACUGCUAAUACCGCAUAAUGUCUUCGGACCAAAGCGGGGGACCUUCAGGCCUCGCGCCGUAAGAUCAGCCCAAGUGGGAUUAGCUAGUUGGUGAGGUAAUGGCUCACCAAGGCGACGAUCCCUAACUGGUUUGAGAGGAUGAUCAGCCACACUGGGACUGANACACGGCCCAGACUCCUACGGGAGGCAGCAGUGGGGAAUAUUGCACAAUGGGCGCAAGCCUGAUGCGCCAUGCCGCGUGUGUGAAGAAGGCCUUCGGGUUGUAAAGCACUUUCAUAAGGAGGAAAGGUUGGAUGUUAAUACCAUUCAACUGUGACGUUACUUACAGAAGAAGCACCGGCUAACUCCGUGCCAGCAGCCGCGGUAAUACGGAGGGUGCGAGCGUUAAUCGGAAUUACUGGGCGUAAAGCGUACGCAGGCGGUUUGUUAAGCAAGAUGUGAAAGCCCCGGGCUCANCCUGGGAACUGCNUUUCGAACUGGCAAACUAGAGUGUGAUAGAGGGUGGUAGAAUUUCAGGUGUAGCGGUGAAAUGCGUAGAGAUCUGAAGGAAUACCGAUGGCGAAGGCANCCACCUGGGUCAACNCUGACGCUCAUGUACGAAAGCGUGGGGAGCAGACAGGAUUAUAUACCCUGGUANUCCACNCCGUANACGAUGUCUACUAGGAAGCUCGGUUCCUCAGGAACUGUUUUUCNAAGCUAACGC
RNAcentral lists this ribosomal RNA (765 nucleotides) under Pseudoalteromonas sp. TSASRA016. RNAcentral describes it as "bacterial SSU rRNA". It matches the Rfam family "Bacterial small subunit ribosomal RNA", at positions 96 to 858 of the family's 1533-position model. Lineage: Bacteria; Pseudomonadati; Pseudomonadota; Gammaproteobacteria; Alteromonadales; Pseudoalteromonadaceae. The record is from RNAcentral.